Molecule: ribosomal RNA, 253 nt
Filed under: uncultured bacterium
Lineage: Bacteria
Description: partial 16S ribosomal RNA
Rfam family: Bacterial small subunit ribosomal RNA
Source: RNAcentral
UACGGAGGGUGCAAGCGUUAAUCGGAAUUACUGGGCGUAAAGCGUGCGUAGGUGGUUCGUUAAGUCCGUUGUGAAAGCCCCGAGCUCAACUUGGGAAUUGCAGUGGAUACUGGCGAGCUGGAGUGCGGUAGAGGAAGGUGGAAUUCCCGGUGUAGCGGUGAAAUGCGUAGAUAUCCGCAGGAAUACCAGUGGCGAAGGCGGCACUCUGGGUUGUACCUGACGCUGAUGUGCGAAGGCUAGGGGAGCGAACAGG